UCCUCUGUCUGCUUUCUUGAUCCGAUCAGGGGUUAAAACGUGGCAGAUAAUUGACGGAAUGAAGUUAAUAAUUCGGACUUGUUAGAAAUGAAAAAAGUGACAAUACAGUUAUUAAAUGAUACGUUGAAGAAGGAGCUCUUGGAGGAGUUGGGAGCACUUAGAACAGACAUGAAAGAGUUUUAAAAAGAGCUGGGAGUUCUGGAAAGCCAGAUUAAUAUAAAUUCUAUAAGGAUCUUUCACCAGGAGACUAUGUCCAAGGAACUUCAAAAACAUGUAAUUCAAUUACAGGAUUCCCAAAGAAGAGCCAACAUUAGAAUUAUGAAUUUGCUGGAAGCACCUGGAGAGGCCUAACAUAAAAAGAUUCAAAGCUGGAUAAGUGACAUUUGUAAAGAACUUCAAUUCUCUGAGUGGGUUCUUGAUUGAGUUCAUUGAGUGGGUCUAAAGAGAUCUGGUGGCGCCCCUAGAGAUGUCUUAGUGAGGGUUGUGAACUAUCAAAAAAAGGAAAAGUUUAUGCUUUUUUAAAGGCAAAAUCCAAAGGAUUUAUCUAUUGGAGGAGUGUCUGUUUUGAAAAAUUACAAUUUAGAAGGAAAAUGAAAAGUGUGCUGGCAUUGUUGAGAGAAAAAUCUAUUAAUUAUAGCUGGGGGUAUUCUGUUUUUGUGUGAAUUCAACUUAAUCAGAAGUAUUAUCGAAAAGAUUGUCUAGAAGGGUUUUAACAUGGUUGAGAGAUUAUGGGUUUUUUAUCACUUCAGGAAUAUGACAACCAGAUGGAUAAAAUGUUGACAGAAGUAGGCGAUCUAGAGCCGGAGACAUCAGAGAGGGGGGAUCUCAGGUCACUGAAGCAACUGCCAAUAGGAGAGGAAAAUACUACAGGGACUGGAUCAAAACAGGAGAGCCCUAAAUUACCAAGAAAAAGGAGGGGGAAGAAAUAAAUGAACUGAUGUGAAGAUGGUCCUUUGGGUUGUUUGGGUAAAACAAAUACAAAACGGUUAAUUAGAAAUGAUGGUUGGCCCCCAUUCAUAAGAUUUAGGUGGACCAGGAGGAGAAAACUGUAUUAUUUUUGUUUUGGAUCUAAGUGUUGUAAAAGGUAAAAAAUAUUUAUUGUUACACAUUUAGAGCUUAAGCUAAGUAGGAUCCCUUAUGAGCAAAGGCAUGUAAAUGUACUAGAACUAAAUUGAGCUUUAAUAUAUGAGGUAAGGUAGAUGGGAAGGUGUGGGUACUUAAGUAAUGGGUAAAAAACUAAGGGGCAGUAAGAAAAAACAGGAGAGCCCUAAACUGCCAAGAAUAAGUUGGGGAAAGAAAUAAUGAUGAACUGAUGUGAAGGUGGUCCUUUGGGUUGUUUGGGUAAAACAAAUACAAAAUGGUUAAUUAGAAUUGAUGGUUGGCCCCCAAUGCUAGGAAUUAGAGCUUGCAUGGACCAGGAGGAGAAAAUUGUACUAUUUUAGCUUCAGACUUAAGUGUUGUAAAUGGUAAAAAAUAUUCAUUGUUACACAUUCAGGGUUUAAGCUAAGUAGGAUCCCUUAUGUACAAUGGAAUUUACAUGCACUAGAACUAAAUAGAACUAAGGUGUGGGUAAUAUAGAGUGAGAAAUGAAAUGUUACUGUUACUAAGUGUAAAGGGUGAAAAACUGGAAUAGCACAGGAUCAUUGAAGUCUCUUAAGGCCAAGAAGCCUGAGAAUUAAAACAUGUAAAUGGUUGUUCUAAGAGUAAUAAUGUUUCUUACAUCAAAAGUCCCAAAAAAUACCAGAAGGGGUAAAAUUGGGGGACAGUGGUAAAACCGUCACCUUCACAAUAGUAAUGGGCAGUAAGAAAUAUUUAAAAUAGUGAGAUCUCAUAGCAAUUUGGUAUAUGAUGCAGUAAGUUUUAAUAUGGAAGUUUGUCUUUAGGGACAAUCUAUAGAAUUUAAGGGUUAAUCCCAAUAGAGUAGGAUAUUGUAAAUAAAGGGGCUAUAUAUAAAUUUAUAAUAAAGUUUGCAAUAUUAGGUAAUUAUACACAACAGGGAGGUGGUGAGUGGUCUAUCUUUUCCCCUUUGGAGGGGGUUACGCUCUUUCUCCCCUCCCCCUUGUGCCUAAGGGCAGGAAGGCUGCAGGGGAAUGGGGGUAAUUCAAGGGGGAAGAAAGUUUGUCUAUGUAUCAGGGUUGAGCGGAAGUUGUGGGGUUAUUGUUUGAUUUAUGUUUUCUAUGUUAUAUGUAUUGGCAAUGUUAAAUGUGGAUCACAAGACUCGGGAUUGAAGCUACAGUGUUGGGAAAACCAAAAUGGUUAAACAAAUUAAUAUAUUAACAUGGAAUGUGAAAGGCCUAGGGACAAAUUUAAAAAGGGGUAAAAUACUGAAUGUAUUGAAUAAGCGAACGAACAAUGUGGUGUUUUUACAGGAAACUCCUCGGAAAAAGGAUGGGUUAAAUGAAAUCAAAGGGAAUUGGAUGGAUGUUUAUGAAAAAUGUUUUGGAACUUCUAAAUCCAGAGGUGUAGCUAUUAUAAUAUCUAAGUGAUGUGAAUUUAAAGUUGAGAAGGUAGUUAAAGAUCAAGAAGGAAGACACAUUAUAGUUCAGGGGCAAAUGAAAGGAGAGAAUUGUGCUUUAGGGAAUAUCUAUGCUCCAAAUGUUAACCAAGAACAAUUUAUGCAGAAGGUUUUAGCAGUAUUGGAGGAAACUAGGAAAGAAUUUGUGAUUUUGGGAGGGGAUUGUGAUAUGGUAAUGGAUAAAAUGAAUGAUAAAUCCUCUUGGAAACAAAGUGAAAAACAAAAUAGAUAUACUAAACUAUACAAGAUGAUAAAUAGGACAGAUUUGAAAGAUGUCUGGAGAGAGCUAAAAGGGAAUGAAAGAAGGUACUCUUCUUAUUCAGAACCUCAUAAAUCCUAUUCAAGAAUAUAUUAUUUAUUUAUAUCUAAGGAGGUAAUAACUAAAGUUAAGUAUGUAGAAAUGGGGGUCAUUCAGAUUUCAGAUCAUUAGCUAGAGUGCAAAUGGAAUUGGACUUUAAAGCAGAUUAUAUGGAAGCCAAAAGAUGGAGAUUAGAUACUAAUAUUUUCAGAUAUAAAAAGGUUAUGGAUAAGAUGCAGAGAGACAUAGAGGAGAUCUGGAAAAUAAAUGAACAGGGAGAGGGGAAAUUUAGUAUGAUAUGGGACGCUAUGAAGGAGGUAUGAAGGGGCCUAGCAAUUAAAGCUGGAUAGAAAGUAAGGAUGCAACAAUCUAAGAGGAUAAGUGAAUUAGAAAAUAACUUAAAUGAAUUAGAAAAUUUUUUUAUUGCAACUAGAAAUGAUUCAAUUGGAAAAGAAAUCCAGGCCAAAAAAGAAAAAAAAAAGAAUGAGAAGGUAUACAUAUGGAAAAGGUGCAGAGAAAAUAUAUUUGAAAAGACAAUUGUUUUGAGUAUGGUAAUAGAAAUUCUAAAUUAUUAGCACAAGCCUCACAGAUAAAGAAAAGGAAGGGUAAUAUUGGAGUGAAAGAGAAUGGAGAAGGAAUAAGAUGUAGUAAGAUGAAGGCGAAAUUAAAUGCGUUUCAAGAAUUUUAUUUUAAAAAUGUAUACAGCCACAGAGGUGGAUACAAAUAAGGUCAUAGAAUAUGUGAAAAAUAACUUGGAAAAGACUACUGAUAUACAAGACAAAGAAGAAAUGGAAGGGGAAAUUACUGAUGAUGAAAUUGAAGCAGUAAUAAAUAAACUGAAAAUUGGUAAAACCCCUGGGGUAGAUGGGCUAGGCCCUGAAUUUUAUAAGUUUUUUUUGUAAAUUAAUGAUACCCAAAUGAAAAUUUUGAUGAAUAAAAUUUUAGAAGGUGAGGAGAUCCCCCCAUCAUGGAAGGAAUCUCUGAAUGUUUUAAUAUUGAAGCCUGGAAAAGUUGCGGUAAAUAUGGACUCUUAUAGACCAAUCUCCCUGAUAAUUCAAGAUGCAAUUUUUUUUUGCAAUCUUACCUAAUAGAUUGCACACCUUUAUUGGAAAAUAUAUUAAUAAAGAUCAAAAUGGCUUCCUGAAAGAUAGACAGAUGGCAGAUGUCUUGAGGAGAGUUCUGAAUAUUAUACAUCUAGCAAAGAAAAAUAGCUUAAAAGCUGGUAUUUUAGCAUUAGACAUUUUUAAGAUGUUUGAUUCAGUGGAAUGGGAUACAUUAAAAAUUGUGUUAGAUAAUAUGUGAUUUGGAGUUAAGUUUAAACACUAUAAAUAAAUUAUAUAAAGAUAACUCUACAAGAGUCCUGGUAAAUGAUGGAAUCACAGAUAUAAUAUCUCUAGGCCGGGGAACACCUCAAGGAUACCCCUUGCCUCCCAUUUUAUUUGUGAUGGUAAUGGAAUUAUUAGCUAUUGUAAUUAGGAAAGAUGCGGAAUUGAAAAGAAUUGGGUAUAAAGAGGAAGUUAAGGUAAAUGUAUUUGCUGAUGAUACCCUAUUGACAUUAGAAGACCCUAUAAAAUUAUAGAUAGACUUAAGCUGCACUUACAAGAAUUUGAGGAAAUAACUGGAUGAAAAAUUAAUUGGGACAAAUCUGCAAUUAUGUUAAUUAAUUAUAGCAAAGAAUAUAAGGCCAAACUGAAAGACUUAUUUGAAGGGAAAAGGAGGGACACAACAAAAUAUUUGGGAAUUUAUAUUAUAUGGAAUAUAUACAAAAUGGCAAAAUUGAAUAAGGAUUAUCUUAAAAAACAAAUAGAAGACUAUAUUAAGGAGUUUGGUAAGGCCAAACUAUCUUGGUAGAAUUGCGGUAUGCAAAAUGAAGGUUAUUCCUAAAAUUAAUUUCCUUUUUUGGAUGCUACCCAUUAAGAUUGCAGAUUCUGAUUUGAAAAGUUGGCAGAAUAUGAUUAAUUCCUUUUGUAAUGGGAAAAAGCUAGAAUUAAUAAAAAAUUAUGGCAUAAAUCCCAAAAGGGAGGAGGAGUAGGCUUACCAAAUAUUAAAACAUAUUAUUUAGCAAAUCAAAUAAGGUAUAUUUUAGAUAUAAUGAUCUAUAAAGAGUUACUUUGGGGCAAUGUUGAAUUCAAAAAGGAUAGAAAUCAUAUGGAAAAUAUUUUAUUUAGGGAGGAUAAUAUUUUCAAUUUAAAGAAAAUAGAAACUCCAUUUUUAAAGAAUAUGUAAGAACUGUAGAGCUAUAGUAGGAAGAUUUUAAUCUCAGUAAUUUCCUCAUUAAUUCCAGUAAUUGCAAUGAAGAGUUUUCCAGAGAAUCUGAAAGGUACGUUACAGAGAGUACUAAGAGAAAAGAACAUAUUAAGACUGAAGGAGUUAAAAAUUUUGGAUAAUAAAGACAAAAUGGGUCAAAUUUGUGCAGAAUUGAAGGGUUCCGGUUGGAAGAUGAUUCAGUUACAAAAUUGGCUGAAAUGAGGAAAACACUUGGUGAAAUAAGAAAAUUAACUAAAUUUGAAGAACUGGUAGAGAGUACAGAGAAGGAAGAUAGUAGUAAUAGGAAAGGAAUUACAAGUUUAAUAUAUAAAAUGCUAAUAGAAGGGCAGUAUGGGCAAUGUAGACUUUUGGAAGGUUUGCAAGAUGAUGUGAGUAAAGAUAUUAGUCAAGUAAACUGGUUGAAACUAUGGAAUAAUAGAAUUAUAAAGAAUAUGUUGAUCAGAGUAAAGGAGAAUUGUUUUAAAGUAAUUUGGGAGUGGUAUAAUAUACCGGUAAGGUUAAACAGAAUUAAUUCUGAAUUAAUGCCUCUUUGUUGGAGGUGCGAAAAAGAACAAGGGACUUAUUAUCAUAUGUGGUGAUUGUGCAAAAUUAAACAGAAAGAAUGGGCAUGAUAUUUAAGGAAAUUAGUGAUAUUAUGGAUAGAAAGAUUUUGAUGUUUCCGAUUAUUGCACUUUUGAAUACUUUUUCGGAUUUGCAAUUAGACAGCAGAACAAGAAUUGUUAUUAUGGUUACUGCCACCAGAUUACUAAUGGCUAAAAAUUGGAAAGGUAUAGAUUUAAUCAACAUUCUUGACUGGUAUAAUGAAAUGUGGAACUUAGCCGUUAAUGAUAAAUGAACAUGUGAUUUGAAAAUUAGGCGAGGGGAAAGGAAAAUAAAUUAUUUUACAAGAAUACUGAAUGUCUUUUUACUAUAUGUACUAGAGAAACAUAAAGGGAAGUAUCCGGCAAAAGAUUCACUGCAUUUUUGAAGAGUCAUGGCGUUUAGUGGUGAUCUUUUGCAAGCUUUACUCCAGAGGGUGAUGGGAGCACUAUGUUGUUAUGUAUAGUUUUAGUUUAUGACGUUCUGUAUAUUUGUAGCCUAUGUUGUUAUGGUUUUUUUAGUCUAUGUAUUAUGUAACUUAUGUUAUUUGUAUAAUAUUGUUAUGUAGUAGUAGUUAUUAUUAUUUUUAUUUUAAAAAGGAGGACUAAAUGGAGGAGCACCAGGCCCCAUCUUUGUAGAAUGAAGGGGAUGUUGCUCUGCCUCCACAAUCUGCAUGUUUCUCUCCCAACAGAAGUAAGAUUCUCCAGUACAGUGGACACCUCUUAAUCCAAGGUCAGCAUCACCAGUGGGGAUGAAAUAUUCUCAUCAAUAAAUAGCGCAGACAGCUUAAGCACAGUCAGCUUUGGUGCAGGUGGAGAGGAUGCUUAGAAAAGGAAGAAUGGAUCACACCAAGAUUUCUUUUUAAAUACAGUGAACCUGUAUACACUUAUGCCCACUUGCCUUCGCCAUUGCCUUUGAUGCUGUGCCCACAACAGAGUAAUAUGGCUUCUUCUGCCCCACCACUUGUCUCCUGCAGCCCCCUGACAUGUGUGGUGGGAGCACCGGGGAGAGGAGGGAAAUGGAAAGAGGAGGGAAAUGGACGCAGAGACCAGGCGUGGCCACACCAGCCACACCUGCAUAGCCAGCCAGCACACAGGACAAUGCCAGUUUGGUGUUGGUUUGAGCACUGGAGUUUUCCUAUUAGGGUUAUUGUGGCUUUAUUAUUGUUAUUUUACUGUUCUUGAUAUUGUUGCAUAUUUGAUAUUGAUAUUUGCUAUUAUUUUUGAUACUGUAUUUUUCAUUUUGCUUAAUUGUAUUAUGUAUUAUUUAUCUUGGAUUUUACUAUAUUGUUUUAUUAGGUAUUGAGAUAUUGAAUUUGUAUACUGCCCAGAGAACCCAAAGGGCUAUGGGGUGGGAUAGAAAUAUAAAUUGAAAUGAAAAACUAAAUAAACUCAUAAAAAAACAUUUAAAUGCAGUUAAGCAGCAGAGUAGAGUAAGAUAUACUUAAACUGGAUGGGCAAAUAAAAGAACAUUUGGGCCUUAUACUGAAAAUAAAGAAAUAAGGUGGGGGGUAACACAAAGAAGGACUUAUUCUGCAGUGGCACCCCAACUUUGGAAUGAGCUUUCUAGAAAGGUUUGCCUGAUGCCUUCCUUAUAGUCUUUUAGGCACCAGGCAAAACUCCUUUCUAUUUUGACAGUAUUUAAAUUGUUAACUUGUUUAAGUAGCAUUUUAACUGUGAGUAUGUCAUUAUUAUGGCACAUCUUUAUAUUGGUUUUAAUGUUUAUUUGUAAUUGCUGUUUUAUAUUGUAUUUUAAUCUCUAUGUUAUUUUGUAUUUUAUUGCUGCAACCUCCCCAGGGAGCUGGCUAAUGGGGAGGGUUAGAAAUUUAAUAAAUAAUAACUAUAAAAAGA
Molecule: long non-coding RNA, 7510 nt
Organism: Varanus komodoensis (Komodo dragon)
Lineage: Eukaryota; Metazoa; Chordata; Lepidosauria; Squamata; Varanidae
Exons: 2
Source: RefSeq, a predicted model, not a curated record